This 465-nucleotide ribosomal RNA is filed under the name uncultured Klebsiella sp. Its description in RNAcentral is "bacterial SSU rRNA". It matches the Rfam family "Bacterial small subunit ribosomal RNA", at positions 338 to 795 of the family's 1533-position model. Lineage: Bacteria; Pseudomonadati; Pseudomonadota; Gammaproteobacteria; Enterobacterales; Enterobacteriaceae. The record is from RNAcentral.
CCUACGGGGGGCUGCAGUGGGGAAUAUUGCACAAUGGGCGCAAGCCUGAUGCAGCCAUGCCGCGUGUGUGAAGAAGGCCUUCGGGUUGUAAAGCACUUUCAGCGGGGAGGAAGGCGGUGAGGUUAAUAACCUCAUCGAUUGACGUUACCCGCAGAAGAAGCACCGGCUAACUCCGUGCCAGCAGCCGCGGUAAUACGGAGGGUGCAAGCGUUAAUCGGAAUUACUGGGCGUAAAGCGCACGCAGGCGGUCUGUCAAGUCGGAUGUGAACUCCCCGGGCUCAACCUGGGAACUGCAUUCGAAACUGGCAGGCUAGAGUCUUGUAGAGGGGGGUAGAAUUCCAGGUGUAGCGGUGAAAUGCGUAGAGAUCUGGAGGAAUACCGGUGGCGAAGGCGGCCCCCUGGACAAAGACUGACGCUCAGGUGCGAAAGCGUGGGGAGCAAACAGGAUUAGAUACCCGAGUAGUC